This 94-nucleotide transfer RNA is filed under the name Cyrtodactylus quadrivirgatus. Its description in RNAcentral is "tRNA-Cys". Lineage: Eukaryota; Metazoa; Chordata; Lepidosauria; Squamata; Gekkonidae. The record is from RNAcentral.
AGCCCGCGAGGUAGAAGCGCCAAAAUGCAAAUUUGGAGACGUACCCUAAUAGGUGCCGGGGCUUCUCCCGUUUUAAGUUAGACGGGAGAAGCUA